AACGUAGGUACCGAGCGUUAUCCGGAUUUACUGGGCGUAAAGCGCGUUCAGGCGGUUUGGCAAGUCGGGCAUGAAAUCUCUCGGCUCAACCGGGAGAGGUUGUCCGAUACUUCCAGACUUGAGGGCAGUAGAGGGUGGUGGAAUUCCGGGUGUAGUGGUGAAAUGCGUAGAGAUCCGGAGGAACAUCUGUGGCGAAGGCGGCCAUCUGGACCAGCACUGACACUGAGGCACGAAAGCGUGGGGAGCAAACAGG
Molecule: ribosomal RNA, 253 nt
Filed under: uncultured bacterium
Lineage: Bacteria
Description: partial 16S ribosomal RNA
Rfam family: Bacterial small subunit ribosomal RNA
Source: RNAcentral